Molecule: ribosomal RNA, 470 nt
Filed under: uncultured bacterium
Lineage: Bacteria
Description: partial 16S ribosomal RNA
Rfam family: Bacterial small subunit ribosomal RNA
Source: RNAcentral
GACGAACGCUGGCGGCGUGCUUAACACAUGCAAGUCUGGCGGCGGCGCGAUCCGUGCCCGGCGAUCGGGUGCGCAACACGCGAGCGAGCUGCCCUGUGUGCGGGGGCUAGCUGUCCCAACGGCCGGGUAAUACCGCACACGCCCCGCGCUCGGAGGCGCCGGGCGAAAGCCCGCAAGGGCGCACCAGGCGGUGCUCGCGGCCUAUCAGCGAGUUGGGGGGGUAACGUGCGACCAAGGCGACCACGGGUAGCCGGGCUGAGAGGAUGGCCAGCCACAUUGGGACGGAGAGACGGCCCAGACUCCGACGGGGGGCAGCAGUGGGGAAUCUGGCGCAAUGGGCGAAAGACUGACGCAGCGACGCCGCGUGGAGGAUGAGGCCCUUCGGGGUGUAAACUCCUGUUGCUCGGGACGAACGGCGGGCAUCGGCCCGCUUGACGGUACCGGGUGAGGAAGCACCGGCUAACUCUGUG